CACUCACUUGAUCCUAAAACAUUUAUUUUAUUUUGACUCUAUUCCAACGGUGUUGAUUAUUCUUUUUUUAGUCCACUGGAAUUUUAUUAAAAGAAACUCAGCCCAACAAGACCAAGCCCUAUACAAACCAAAACGAAAAAGCAAGACGAAGCCCAACUAACAUUAAGACGGAAACCCAACACACGGGCCCAACACAGAAAGGAAAACCGUCGAGGAAGCAAGCUUCACGACACGUCAUCUUCCACGUGGGACGAUCGCCGGCGAUCAAUGAGACACGGUCAAAGCGAGGAACCACUUCCUUCCACCGGAACCGGAGGAGGCGACGGAACUCCGCCGACGACGAAGACGAACCACUGAAGAACCAAUCUUCACAGAGGCUCAAACCGAAAGCCAAAACCGGUGGAUCUACAAUUCGAAGAAACAACGGCCUUCAAUCGAUCCUAAUCAACAGAGGAUUGGGGCGAGAGGCGAUCGGACAACGAAGAACUGAAUCGUAGAUCGGCGGUCGCCGGCGAGAACGAUUCCAUGAAGACAUCGUCUCCCCGCUCUUUGGGCCGAAUCGACAUCGAGAGGCGAAAAGCUAGGGGAGCGAAUGGGAUUAGAUACCCCAAGUAGUCUGGCCGUAAACGAUGGAUACUAAAGCAUUUGUCGCGUAUCGACCCGCAGCGAUGUCAGUAGCGCGUUAAGUAUCCCGCCUGGGGGAAUGCGUUCGCAAGAAUGAAACUCAAAGGAAUUGUGGGGGCCCGCCUGGCGGUGGAGCAUGUGGUUUAAUUCGAUGCAAAGCGAAAAGAACCUUACCGGGGCUUGACAUGCCGCGAAUCCUCUUGAAAGAGAGGGGUGCCUUCGAACGCGGACACAGGUGGUGCAUGGGCUGUCGUCAUUUCGCGGCCGUAAGGUGUUGGGUUAAGUCCCGCAACGAAGCGCUGAACCCUCGUGUUUAGUUGCCACCGUUGAGUUUGGAACCCGAACAGAUUGCCGGUGAUAAGCCGGAGGAAGGUGAGGAUGACGUCAAGUCAUCAUGCCCCUUAUGCCGGGGGCGACACACGUCGCUUCAAUGGCGGGACAAAGGUCGCGAUCCCGCGAGGGUGAGCUAACUCAAAAAAACCCGUCCUCGAUUCGGAUUGCAGGCUGCAACUUCGCUGCAUGAAGCCGGAAUCGCUAAUGUAAUCGCACGGUCGACCAUACGGGCGGUGAAUUCGUUCGGGCCUUGUACACACCGCCCGUCACACUAUGGGAGCUGGCCAUGCGAAGUCGUUACCUUAACCGCGAAGGAGGGGGUGUGCGAAGGGCGGGCUAAUAUUUGGAGUGAAGUCGUAACAAGGUAGCCGUACUGGAAGGUGCGGCUG
This 1346-nucleotide ribosomal RNA is filed under the name Brassica rapa (field mustard). RNAcentral describes it as "bacterial SSU rRNA". The stretch from base 476 to 1346 matches the Rfam family "Bacterial small subunit ribosomal RNA". The record is from RNAcentral. Lineage: Eukaryota; Viridiplantae; Streptophyta; Magnoliopsida; Brassicales; Brassicaceae.